GCAGUGGUGGAUCAAUGGUAGAAUUCUCACCUUCCAUGCGGGAGACCCGGGUUCGAUUCCUAGCCAAUGCA
RNAcentral lists this transfer RNA (71 nucleotides) under Loxodonta africana (African savanna elephant). It matches the Rfam family "tRNA". Rfam says of the family: Transfer RNA (tRNA) molecules are approximately 80 nucleotides in length. Their secondary structure includes four short double-helical elements and three loops (D, anti-codon, and T loops). Further hydrogen bonds mediate the characteristic L-shaped molecular structure. tRNAs have two regions of fundamental functional importance: the anti-codon, which is responsible for specific mRNA codon recognition, and the 3' end, to which the tRNAs corresponding amino acid is attached (by aminoacyl-tRNA synthetases). tRNAs cope with the degeneracy of the genetic code in two manners: having more than one tRNA (with a specific anti-codon) for a particular amino acid; and 'wobble' base-pairing, i.e. permitting non-standard base-pairing at the 3rd anti-codon position. The record is from Rfam by way of RNAcentral. Lineage: Eukaryota; Metazoa; Chordata; Mammalia; Proboscidea; Elephantidae.